RNAcentral lists this ribosomal RNA (738 nucleotides) under bacterium SCGC AAA071-N15. RNAcentral describes it as "bacterial SSU rRNA". It matches the Rfam family "Bacterial small subunit ribosomal RNA", at positions 89 to 864 of the family's 1533-position model. RNAcentral also lists the same sequence under 1 other name. The record is from RNAcentral.
UACUUAGUGGCAGACGGGUGAGUAACAUGUGGGUAUCUACCCUUUGGCCUGGAAUAACACGAGGAAACUUGUGCUAAUACCGGAUAAGUCUUUACGGAGAAAGCUUUAUGCACCAUUGGAUGAGCCCGCACUUGAUUAGUUUGUUGGUAGGGUAAUGGCCUACCAAGACUAUGAUCAAUAGCUGAUUUGAGAGGAUGAUCAGCCACAUUGGGACUGAGACACGGCCCAAACUCCUACGGGAGGCAGCAGUGGGGAAUCUUGCACAAUGGAGGAAACUCUGAUGCAGCGAUGCCGCGUGAGUGAAGAAGGCCCUUGGGUUGUAAAGCUCUUUCGUCGGGGAAGAAAAUGACUGUACCCGAAUAAGAAGGUCCGGCUAACUUCGUGCCAGCAGCCGCGGUAAUACGAAGGGACCUAGCGUAGUUCGGAAUUACUGGGCUUAAAGAGUUCGUAGGUGGUUGAAAAAGUUAGUGGUGAAAUCCCAGAGCUUAACUCUGGAACUGCCAUUAAAACUUUUCAGCUAGAGUAUGAUAGAGGAAAGCAGAAUUUCUAGUGUAGAGGUGAAAUUCGUAGAUAUUAGAAAGAAUACCAAUUGCGAAGGCAGCUUUCUGGAUCAUUACUGACACUGAGGAACGAAAGCAUGGGUAGCGAAGAGGAUUAGAUACCCUCGUAGUCCAUGCCGUAAACGAUGUGUGUUAGACGUUGGAAAUUUAUUUUCAGUGUCGCAGGGAAACCGAUAAA